GGGGCCUCUCCGCUAAUGGCGGGUAGGGGUUUUCCCCGCCGCCUCUGGUAUGUAACUCUGGAGCUUCCCUCUGGGCUUAGGUAUAAUUGUGGGGGGCUUAGGUAGGGCUGUGGUCACCUGUUUCCACCAUCACUCCUCUGGUGUGCGCUCCCUCCUGCCCUUGGUGUGUGGCGAUGUUCUGGGGGCGUCCGCUGGAAGAAAGCCGCUUGCAGACCCAUAGGAGCAUUAUACUUUCCUGAUUAUGAAAAGAAAGGAAGAAAUAAAAUCCCUUGGAAAUCUAAGUAAACAUAGCAGGAAGAAAUGCACAUAUUCCUGGGAGAAGAAAAGCUACCAUGAACCCUACACUUCCACUCUCUUCUUGGAAGUCACCCACUGCAGAGAAUCACAGGAAACACUCUUACUACUGUCUCCAUAGAAUCAUCUUGGAACACGUUGUGACUUUAAAAUAAGCAUAAUUUUCUGAAAAUCCCAUGGGAGACAUCAGGGAAAGAGAAAAUAGAACUCUAGAGAUAGAUAAAUUCUUUCUUUACAAAGUUAUUAAAUUAUUAAAGUUUCAUGGUAUGCUAUUGCAAGAACAAA
RNAcentral lists this long non-coding RNA (579 nucleotides) under Equus caballus (horse). RNAcentral's name for it is "lncRNA (ENSECAG00000050429.1)". The record is from RNAcentral. Lineage: Eukaryota; Metazoa; Chordata; Mammalia; Perissodactyla; Equidae.